GAAGAGGUGCUGCUGGGGUGGUUGGAAGCCGGUGGGGGGCGGGUGUAUGGCGGCUAGGCCUGGAAGACCACGAGGACCGCUAGCGCCGUGGGGUCACUCUUCCUCAUGCCACAGGUUGCCGAGCCUCGGGGGAGAGGUGGGGUCCCAGGGGCCAACCCUUGGGUGUGUUGAUGGCGGCAGGCUAACCCAGCCAACGGGGUGCCACUGCCGGGCAAGGUGAGGAGCAAGAAGAUUUCCAGGGCUGGGAGGUAGAGGGCCAGGACCCCAAGGAGAGGGCUUACUGCGAGGAGCAGCCCAGGAUGGAUAAGGAGUUGAGGCCCCAGGGAUGCUGAGCCUGCACAAGUGGAAGUGACUGGCUACCAGACUCUGAAAAACCUAAGUCCUUUAGGGAAGACCACAAAAGCAUCCAACCACAGUCUGCGCUGCAGCCCGGCAGAACUAAGUCUUGGGCGCCGCGACGCCUUUCCUACGGAAUAGGUCCUGGAAGGAAGACCAUUUAAGGACUGGCGAGGAGAGCACGCCUUCCCUUCCGAAGGUGCGUUACCAGAUUGCUGCCGUUUUUGUGCUGGGUCAUCAGAGCAGAUUCCCCUCCAGGUUACAGAUUAAACUUAACUCUACCCGUGCUGAAAAUGGCCGGAGCACGCCGCCUCGCCUCCCCUCCCCAAGGCUGCCGGAGCCGCCGGCCCCUGCCUCCUUUUCGACGACUGAUCGUCCAAGGACUGGCGCCGGAUCCAACACCUUUCCCCAGCUCUGCGCGUACCGCGCUCUUUGGAAACGAAUUGGUCCCUGUCUGCUUCCAAGGGUCCCUGGAACCUUCUGCAGCUGUGCCUCUCCAGAGCUCCGCCUCAUUAGUGCCACGUUCCUGGUUUGAAAACCAUAGUACUUCAACCUCUUCUAGAUGGGAGUUAACCUUUGCCCUCUGAAAGAAAGGUUUGAUAAGCAAAGAGAGUUUGGUGAGCAAGAUCCUUGAGGUAAGAGCUGAUCUCUGACGUCCGCUGGGAACUGGCUGCUCUGCAGGUUUCUGUAUCACAUUUUCUGCACAUGUCCAUUAGAAUUGGAGAUGGGGCGUAUCUAGUGUUGAAUAAAGGCCCGGCAGGCCCUCCCAGAUGCACCCUGUCAGACAGAGCCUACUGUGGAUUCUUUAGAAAUGGCUUGACUCAUUCUUGGUGGCGACCACACCACCCACAGGCACCUAAAAUGAAAGGAUUUUUGUUAGCUGGUUACCACCAAACCACCUCAGGCAA
This 1244-nucleotide long non-coding RNA is filed under the name Homo sapiens (human). RNAcentral describes it as "non-protein coding GNAS-AS1:16". Lineage: Eukaryota; Metazoa; Chordata; Mammalia; Primates; Hominidae. The record is from RNAcentral.